Cyprinus carpio (common carp) is the source of this 1114-nucleotide long non-coding RNA. Lineage: Eukaryota; Metazoa; Chordata; Actinopteri; Cypriniformes; Cyprinidae. The record is from Ensembl.
UUCUUCAAUAAGGAAAAGAACGUGACUGAUAGGGUUAUGGCUUCAGCAUAGCACAUAGCACAGAACAGAUAAAGCUGAUAACCUUCAGUCUUCAACAAACUCUAGUUUAUUUCCACAGAUUAUUACCAGGCUGAAGGUUUAAUCACACACUCCAACUCAAACUUUUGAAAAGCAACAAUGACAGAGCUUAUAAGAGAGAGAUAAGUAAUUUAUGUCCAAAAAAGAUGUGAAAUUAAAUUAGUUCAAGUCUUAUCUUAAUAUUUUCAGAUAGUCUAUAUAUGUGUGUGUCAUCAAGGAUAAAAGGAGCCUAUAAGCCAGCAGUUAAUUUAUCAAGGUUAAACUUCAUAAUAAAGCCUAAGAUAUGAUAUCAACAGCACAACAAAACUACAUUUGUGAACAUAAGCUAGAGAAAACAAGCCUAUGUAGACAGACCGGUGUGGCUACCAACUGAAAUUCAAAACAGAAUCUGGUUCCCCCACUUCUCAACUCAGUAUCCCACACUGGGAAUAUACUCAGAGAUUACAACAGUCAGUUGUAGAAAGGAUAUCAACAGAGUGUUAGAAAAUGCUUCAACAAACCAGAGGUGGAGGUGUACUAGGUCAAGCUCCACCCAUGAUCUCCAGAGAACUGAGCUGGACAUGACUUAACUCUGCAGUGAGCACCACUUCUUUACCUUUGGUUAUUAACAAAUGUACAGUAUGGUACUGUAGAAGAACAAUAUUGGUUAACUGAUCGCAAUCUCAUGUUAGUAUUAUAUUUUAUACAAGGAUAAUUCUGGUGUGGCAGUGCAUAGUUUUUUAUGCCCAGUAUACACUUGACUAUUUUGGCUUUCCCAGAUGAAAACAACGAACAAUCAUGCCGAUUUCUUUGGUCAUGGCUCCUUGCUGUCACAACUUGCAACCAGUGAUAGCCUGCAAUAAUUUUAUUAGAGUGUUGGAUAUUUAAGGAAAAAAAUAUUGUGGUGUUGUAACAGCAGAGGCAUUGUUUGUAUGUUGUUUCCUAUGACUGUUACAUCAUCAAGAAUAAUCUAUGAAAGCAGUUAAAGGAGGAAUUGCGGCUCCAAAGUGAGAAGCAGACAAGUUGUACAACUGCAGUCCUACUUGUUAGGCCACAA